RNAcentral lists this ribosomal RNA (1359 nucleotides) under Ligilactobacillus salivarius. Its description in RNAcentral is "bacterial SSU rRNA". It matches the Rfam family "Bacterial small subunit ribosomal RNA", at positions 75 to 1423 of the family's 1533-position model. Lineage: Bacteria; Bacillati; Bacillota; Bacilli; Lactobacillales; Lactobacillaceae. The record is from RNAcentral.
AUUCACCGUAAGAAGUUGAGUGGCGGACGGGUGAGUAACACGUGGGUAACCUGCCUAAAAGAAGGGGAUAACACUUGGAAACAGGUGCUAAUACCGUAUAUCUCUAAGGAUCGCAUGAUCCUUAGAUGAAAGAUGGUUCUGCUAUCGCUUUUAGAUGGACCCGCGGCGUAUUAACUAGUUGGUGGGGUAACGGCCUACCAAGGUGAUGAUACGUAGCCAAACUGAGAGGUUGAUCGGCCACAUUGGGACUGAGACACGGCCCAAACUCCUACGGGAGGCAGCAGUAGGGAAUCUUCCACAAUGGACGCAAGUCUGAUGGAGCAACGCCGCGUGAGUGAAGAAGGUCUUCGGAUCGUAAAACUCUGUUGUUAGAGAAGAACACGAGUGAGAGUAACUGUUCAUUCGAUGACGGUAUCUAACCAGCAAGUCACGGCUAACUACGUGCCAGCAGCCGCGGUAAUACGUAGGUGGCAAGCGUUGUCCGGAUUUAUUGGGCGUAAAGGGAACGCAGGCGGUCUUUUAAGUCUGAUGUGAAAGCCUUCGGCUUAACCGGAGUAGUGCAUUGGAAACUGGAAGACUUGAGUGCAGAAGAGGAGAGUGGAACUCCAUGUGUAGCGGUGAAAUGCGUAGAUAUAUGGAAGAACACCAGUGGCGAAAGCGGCUCUCUGGUCUGUAACUGACGCUGAGGUUCGAAAGCGUGGGUAGCAAACAGGAUUAGAUACCCUGGUAGUCCACGCCGUAAACGAUGAAUGCUAGGUGUUGGAGGGUUUCCGCCCUUCAGUGCCGCAGCUAACGCAAUAAGCAUUCCGCCUGGGGAGUACGACCGCAAGGUUGAAACUCAAAGGAAUUGACGGGGGCCCGCACAAGCGGUGGAGCAUGUGGUUUAAUUCGAAGCAACGCGAAGAACCUUACCAGGUCUUGACAUCCUUUGACCACCUAAGAGAUUAGGCUUUCCCUUCGGGGACAAAGUGACAGGUGGUGCAUGGCCGUCGUCAGCUCGUGUCGUGAGAUGUUGGGUUAAGUCCCGCAACGAGCGCAACCCUUGUUGUCAGUUGCCAGCAUUAAGUUGGGCACUCUGGCGAGACUGCCGGUGACAAACCGGAGGAAGGUGGGGACGACGUCAAGUCAUCAUGCCCCUUAUGACCUGGGCUACACACGUGCUACAAUGGACGGUACAACGAGUCGCGAGACCGCGAGGUUUAGCUAAUCUCUUAAAGCCGUUCUCAGUUCGGAUUGUAGGCUGCAACUCGCCUACAUGAAGUCGGAAUCGCUAGUAAUCGCGAAUCAGCAUGUCGCGGUGAAUACGUUCCCGGGCCUUGUACACACCGCCCGUCACACCAUGAGAGUUUGUAACACCCA